GUGUAUACAUUCUAUAUACUCAUGCUCUCAUCAAACUCACCCUUAUUUCUUUUAGGGCUUGGCUGAUUAUAGUUUGAUCGUCCAUGAGGGGAGAAAGUGAACCUAGCCAAUCUCUGAAGCCAACAGACACAUACGUUAUCCAGGGUCACACGGUGGACCUUGGGAGUAGAAGAAAGCCAUCCACUACCAUCUUCCUGUCCCCUGUGGGUAGUCUGGGCUGAGCUAACUUCUGAGGCUCCCAAGGCUCUGUUUUACAGUUCCAUUUAUGAUGAUGUUUUAUGAAAAGG
This 287-nucleotide long non-coding RNA is filed under the name Fukomys damarensis (Damara mole-rat). RNAcentral's name for it is "lncRNA (ENSFDAG00000029878.1)". The record is from RNAcentral. Lineage: Eukaryota; Metazoa; Chordata; Mammalia; Rodentia; Bathyergidae.